RNAcentral lists this ribosomal RNA (253 nucleotides) under uncultured bacterium. RNAcentral describes it as "partial 16S ribosomal RNA". It matches the Rfam family "Bacterial small subunit ribosomal RNA", at positions 524 to 776 of the family's 1533-position model. The record is from RNAcentral.
UACGUAGGGGGCAAGCGUUAUCCGGAUUCACUGGGCGUAAAGGGAGCGCAGGCGGCAUGGCAAGUCUGAUGUGAAAACCCGGGGCCCAACCCCGGGAGUGCAUUGGAAACUGCCAGGCUGGAGUGUCGGAGGGGUAAGCGGAAUUCCUAGUGUAGCGGUGAAAUGCGUAGAUAUUAGGAGGAACACCAGUGGCGAAGGCGGCUUACUGGACGACUACUGACGCUAAGGCUCGAAAGCGUGGGGAGCAAACAGG